Molecule: long non-coding RNA, 1316 nt
Filed under: Salmo salar (Atlantic salmon)
Lineage: Eukaryota; Metazoa; Chordata; Actinopteri; Salmoniformes; Salmonidae
Description: lncRNA (ENSSSAG00000121863.1)
Source: RNAcentral
UAAACCAGGCUGUUCUAAAUGUGUCUGUUCCUCUAUAAACCAGGCUGUUCCUCUAUAAACCAGACUGUUCUAAAUGUGUCUGUGCCUCUAUAAACCAGACUGUUCUAAAUGUGUCUGUUCCUCUAUAAACCAGGCUGUUCCUCUAUAAACCAGGCUGUUCUAAAUGUGUGUUCCUCUAUAAACCAGGCUGUUUUAAAUGUGUCUGUUCCUCUAUAAACCAGGCUGUUCCUCUAUAAACCAGGCUGUUUUAAAUGUGUCUGUUCCUCUAUAAACCAGGCUGUUCUAAAUGUGUAUGUUCCUCUAUAAACCAGGCUGUUCCUCUAUAAACCAGGCUGUUCCUCUAUAAACCAGGCUGUUCUAAAUGUGUCUGUUCCUCUAUAAACCAGGCUGUUCCUCUAUAAACCAGGCUGUUCUAAAUGUGUCUGUUCCUCUAUAAACCAGACUGUUCCUCUAUAAACCAGACUGUUCUAAAUGUGUCUGUUCCUCUAUAAACCAGGCUGUUCUAAAUGAGUCUGUUCCUCUAUAAACCAGGCUGUUCUAAAUGAGUCUGUUCCUCUAUAAACCAGGCUGUUCCUCUAUAAACCAGACUGUUCUAAAUGUGUUUGUUCCUCUAUAAUCCAGGCUGUUAUUAAAUGUGUCUGUUCCUCUAUAAACCAGGCUGUUCUUCUAUAAACCAGUCUGUUCUAAAUGUGUCUGUUCCUCUAUAAACCAGACUGUUCUAAAUGUGUCUGUUCCUCUAUAAACCAGGCUGUUAUUAAAUGUGUCGGUUCCUCUAUAAACCAGGCUGUUCCUCUAUAAACCAGGCUGUUCUAAAUGUGUCUGUUCCUCUAUAAACCAGGCUGUUAUUAAAUGUGUCUGUUCCUCUAUAAACCAGGCUGUUCCUCUAUAAACCAGACUGUUCUUAAAUGUGUCUGUUCCUCUAUAAACCAGGCUGUACCUCUAUAAACCAGACUGUUCUAAAUGUGUCUGUUCCUCUAUAAACCAGGCUGUUCUAAAUGUGUCUGUUCCUCUAUAAACCAGGCUGUGCCUCUAUAAACCAGGCUGUUCUAAAUGUGUCUGUUCCUCUAUAAACCAGACUGUUCUAAAUGUGUCUGUUCCUCUAUAAACCAGGCUGUUCCUCUAUAAACCAGGCUGUUCUAAAUGUGUCUGUUCCUCUAUAAACCAGUCUGUUCCUCUAUUGACCUGGCUGUUCCUCUAUAGACCAGGCUGUUCCUCUAUAAACCAGGCUGUUCUAAAUGAGAUAGAGGUUCAGUGCAGGUCGGGGUGGAGAGAGCUGUGUGUGUGUGUGAGGAUAUGUGGGUGUGAUUAAGGAUGGU